This is a long non-coding RNA of Podarcis muralis (Common wall lizard), 524 nucleotides long. RefSeq lists it as uncharacterized. Lineage: Eukaryota; Metazoa; Chordata; Lepidosauria; Squamata; Lacertidae. The record is from RefSeq and is a predicted model, not a curated record.
UUACCUCGUUCUCCCUUUGCACCUGGAAGUCCAGGAAGUCCUCUACCAGGAAUACCUGUAAGAUGAAGACAGUAGCACCGAGGCCAGAAAUCUUGCCUGGACACAGCAUGGAGGAGAAUGGGGGAGCAUUACGGAACUCAUAUUUCUCUACCCACAUCUCUGGGGACUGUGAGAGAGCAGAAGGCAAGCAACCAGGCAACCAGGGGCAGAAUACAGCGAAAUACAGGGAUACAGGGAAAGAGAUCUGAGUGAAAAGUGAGGCCAUAGAAGUGUAAACCGCCCGGUGAUCUUCGGAUAAAGGAUGAUGUAUAAACAACAACAAGAAGAAAUGGUGUCUGUUCAUCAAGAAAGUGUUCUGAAUCUUAAAAUCCCAACUGUAAGUACAGUUAGCAUGCCAGCUGCCUCUCCACUACAAACCAACCCUGAAGAAGGACUAGGGGGGAUGCUCAUCAAAUUUGCAGAUGACACCAAACUGGGAGUUUUCAAAAUGACCUUAAAAGAAUGGAGAACUGGGACUUCCGGGU